GAAUAAUGUUGAAAUGAAAUUUUGUUUUGAUUAAUUGUUUACAGUUCGAGUCUCCUCAGGGUCACUGAGAUGAGUACCCAUCUGUAAACUUCAGGGCCUCGUGGAAUUAGUCGAGGAGUGUGUAAGUUGGCUCCGACACCCACGGUCAUAAAACUAAAAAAAAAAAAAAAUGUUGAGAUGAGAAAAUUUUGUCUGAUUUUCUGUUGAGUCUAUUUUGUUUCUUUUCUUUGACAUAAAAUAUAAAAAUCUGCAGUAUUGUUUCUUCAGUCAUACGGAGCCAUGUUACCAUUGAACAAAACAUUUUAAACAAAUGAAUUUUUCGUGACAAUGGGUACUAAAGCCUCAUGUUAACUCCAACCUCAGAUGUAGUUGAGAAUUAGAAGUUAAAUUAAAACAUUUUAAUUGGUUAAUAUCUGUCUAGCUUACUGAUCAUAUUUUUCUGCUCUUAGAGACAUCAAAUUCAGUUAUUGUUAUUAUAUUUUUUAUUUUCAGGUGUUUAUAGAGAAUUCUUUGUUUCAAGCGGGCUAUAAAGCAGAAAACCAAUAGUUUUGUGGGACGAUAAGACCUCAAAAAUGGAUCGGUAGCAUGCUCCGAUACCACCAGUGAUAUGUUGGAAGCCUGUUUAUGGAAUUUUGAGCGUAUCUGCACAUAGCAUACUCUUGCCAAGCUAAAGAAUAGUGAACUCCAUCUCGUGGGAAUUAAGAAUAGAUCGUUAAAAGAUUUGGCAAGAGCCGGCCAAUUGUUGACUGGUAAUCAAAUUGAGAAAUUUACUACUUCACUAAACCUUCUCUUUCUGUUGUCUAGUUCUAAGAAACAUAAUUAUUAAUUAUUUCUUUUAGAAUAUACCCAGUGUUUUUCCAAUCACAUUAUUCUCGAUGGUUAAAGUGGGGUCCUAUGUUUUCUCUUGUUGCCGUCUCUUUAAAUCUUUUAGAUUCUUGACUUGUAGCUGUUCGUGUUCAAUUUUUGUCAUAAUGGAGUUUUUUUCUAAACCUUGUGUCUAACAAGGAAAAGUAGAAGCUUUUGUGUGACUGACCGAUGGAAUUCAUUGAGAUCUUCGUUUUUAAGUAAAACAAAUUUCUAUUUAUGAAUGACUCGUAUUUAGUA
RNAcentral lists this long non-coding RNA (1104 nucleotides) under Olea europaea (common olive). RNAcentral describes it as "long non-coding RNA (OEUR_LNC013121)". The record is from RNAcentral. Lineage: Eukaryota; Viridiplantae; Streptophyta; Magnoliopsida; Lamiales; Oleaceae.